This 502-nucleotide ribosomal RNA is filed under the name uncultured bacterium. Its description in RNAcentral is "bacterial SSU rRNA". It matches the Rfam family "Bacterial small subunit ribosomal RNA", at positions 35 to 507 of the family's 1533-position model. The record is from RNAcentral.
GACUAACGGCUGGCGGCGUGCCUAACACAUGCAAGUCGAACGAGUUGUUUAUAGUAGCAAUAUUAGUGAACAGCAAGUGGCGAACGGGUGAGUAACACGUAGAUAAUCUGCCUUUCAGACGGGGACAACUCAGGGAAACUUGUGCUAAUACCCGAUGAGACUACGAGGGGGGACUUUCGUAGCCAAAGGUGGGGGCAACCUCACGCUGAAAGAUGAGUCUGCGUCCUAUCAGCUAGUUGGUGGGGUAAAAGCCUACCAAGGCGAAGACGGGUAGCCGGCCUGAGAGGGUGAACGGCCACACUGGGACUGAGACACGGCCCAGACUCCUACGGGAGGCAGCAGUGAGGAAUUUUCCGCAAUGGGCGCAAGCCUGACGGAGCGACGCCGCGUGAGGGAUGACGGCCUUCGGGUUGUAAACCUCUUUUAUUAGGGAAAAAGACAUUUGUGCUAAUACCACGGAUGUUUGAUUGUACCUGUUGAAUAAGCCCCGGCUAACUACGUG